Molecule: small nucleolar RNA, 125 nt
Filed under: Chinchilla lanigera (long-tailed chinchilla)
Lineage: Eukaryota; Metazoa; Chordata; Mammalia; Rodentia; Chinchillidae
Description: Small nucleolar RNA SNORA70 (ENSCLAG00000019579.1)
Rfam family: Small nucleolar RNA SNORA70
About the family: snoRNA U70 seems to be exclusive to mammals and is a member of the H/ACA class of snoRNA which contain H (ANANNA) and ACA box motifs. H/ACA box snoRNAs are involved in the conversion of uridines to pseudouridines (5-ribosyluracil) a constituent of structural RNAs (transfer, ribosomal, small nuclear, and small nucleolar).
Source: Rfam by way of RNAcentral
CUACAGCUAAUAAGAUGAUCAGACUCCUUUGCUCUUGGGAGCUCAGUGUGUGAUGGCCGCAAGCAGCAGCCUUCUCAGCAGGGCACACAGCCCGUUGCAUACAUGGGUUAUCCUUGAAGGCAGGU